This 251-nucleotide RNase P RNA is filed under the name Muribaculaceae bacterium. Its description in RNAcentral is "partial RNase P RNA component class A". It matches the Rfam family "Bacterial RNase P class A", at positions 1 to 257 of the family's 367-position model. From Rfam's summary of the family: Ribonuclease P (RNase P) is a ubiquitous endoribonuclease, found in archaea, bacteria and eukarya as well as chloroplasts and mitochondria. Lineage: Bacteria; Pseudomonadati; Bacteroidota; Bacteroidia; Bacteroidales; Muribaculaceae. The record is from RNAcentral.
AUGGCCGGAGGGUCCGUCGCUCGUCUUCAAUAUAAAGGGCGGGAGGAAAGUCCGGGCAACACAGAGCACCAUAUUUCCUAACGGGAAGCUAUCGGUAACGGUAGAGUAAUGUGACAGAAAAUAACCGCCCCCGCCUGCGGGGGUAAGGGUGAAAAGGUGAGGUAAGAGCUCACCGGGCGCCACAGCGAUAUGGCGUGCCGCACAUCUUAUGGGUUGCAAGGUCAAGUAUACCGGCAUUCAAGGGCUGCUCG